GCGCGGGUGGUGAAACCCGGUAAACACGCUAGCUUGAGGUGCUAGUGCCGCAAGGCUUGGAGGUUCAACUCCUCUCCCGCGCACUA
This 86-nucleotide transfer RNA is filed under the name Candidatus Wildermuthbacteria bacterium RIFCSPHIGHO2_01_FULL_48_25. RNAcentral's name for it is "tRNA-Leu". It matches the Rfam family "tRNA". From Rfam's summary of the family: Transfer RNA (tRNA) molecules are approximately 80 nucleotides in length. Their secondary structure includes four short double-helical elements and three loops (D, anti-codon, and T loops). Further hydrogen bonds mediate the characteristic L-shaped molecular structure. tRNAs have two regions of fundamental functional importance: the anti-codon, which is responsible for specific mRNA codon recognition, and the 3' end, to which the tRNAs corresponding amino acid is attached (by aminoacyl-tRNA synthetases). tRNAs cope with the degeneracy of the genetic code in two manners: having more than one tRNA (with a specific anti-codon) for a particular amino acid; and 'wobble' base-pairing, i.e. permitting non-standard base-pairing at the 3rd anti-codon position. Lineage: Bacteria; Candidatus Wildermuthiibacteriota. The record is from RNAcentral. RNAcentral also lists the same sequence under 2 other names.